Molecule: ribosomal RNA, 163 nt
Filed under: uncultured bacterium
Lineage: Bacteria
Description: partial 16S ribosomal RNA
Rfam family: Bacterial small subunit ribosomal RNA
Source: RNAcentral
GUAAUGGCAGGUCAGCAUACUGCCGUGAAUACGUUCCCGGGCCCUUGUACACACCGCCCGUCACACCAUGAGAGUUGGGGAUACCCGAAGCCUGUGAGCUAACUUUUAGAGGCAGCAGUCGAAGGUAGAAUCAAUGAUUGGGGUGAAGUCGUAACAAGGUAAC